Canis lupus familiaris (dog) is the source of this 2196-nucleotide long non-coding RNA. RefSeq lists it as uncharacterized. NCBI's taxonomy places the organism in Eukaryota, Metazoa, Chordata, Mammalia, Carnivora, Canidae. The record is from RefSeq and is a predicted model, not a curated record. The transcript has 8 exons.
CUCACCCCCACCUGUGGGCAUCCUGUUUGGAUGGGGGGCUCCUUGUGAACCUAUUGAACUUUCAGAGGGUAGCCUUUUGUUUGCACCUCUGCCCUCUGGCCUUAGGAUCAUUACUCCAAGUCCGCUACCCCUUUCCUGGGGGUGGCACCUGGACUUCAUUGUGUGCAGGUGCUCCUGCUCUUUACCAAGAUGCUGGCUUGUUGCCGUCUGUGCUUCCACCCACCAGGAGAGUGUUUCAGCUGAUUCCUGUCUUAGCUUUACUGCAUCCAGGCCAAGGAACAGAGACUCAGAAGUUAAUCCUGCUUCAAAAUGAAUUUCUACAUCAACCUACUGAUAACUAACCUGACCAGUCUGAAUGACUCUGCAGCAGAGACUUGCCUGCCAGUAACUGUCCUUGAGGUUUGUUUAUAUUCAGUGGGAAGAAAGAUGGGACCCAGACUGCAGUUUAUUAUUAUCUUUAAAGAAGUAAAUGAGAGGGGUGACCAGUGCCCUGGAACAAGUCAUAAAGGAGCCUGUUAACCAAACCCUGCUAGUUAGGUCACCAGAGACCUGUCCUUGAAUAUUCAAUAAGAAGUCUGCUUUUAGGUAGGUGCAAUUGAUUGUGGUCAGGAAUUGGAAUCACGUGGUCCAGAGUCAGCUCAGCAGGGACUGUGGAUAAGUUAUAGGAAUCAGAUGUAGACUUGGCAUCUGCCUACUAAGCUUUGCCAAAGAAUGUAGUUAGAGCUUAAAGAAAUUCUACUUUUGACACAAGAACUGAAAAUGUGUUGACUCCUUUAAUGAAGAUUUCUAGAGCUAAUCAAUGGCUUUUUCCUGUAACACAUCCUUUUCAGGCACAGAAAAUCUUUAUUGCCACAGAAAGCAAGUGCACUCGUCCCACCUCAUCAACAGAUUUAAGAGUCACAGAAACGCAGACUUCACAUAAUAAAGUACAACACAGACUUGGGGAGAAAUGGUCCCUUGGACUAUAUUGGCUGUAAUACUGAGAAUUAAGGAGAUAGCCUCACUGGCUAGGAAGAGGAUUUGCAAUUAUUUUAUGUCUUCAAGACCAAGUUUCAGGCAAUCGGGUGGCUCAGCUGCUUAGCACCGCCUUCAGCCCAGGGCGUGAUCCUUGGGUCCCGGAAUCAAGUCCCACGUCAAGCUCCCUGCAUAGAGCCUGCUUCUCCCUCUGCCUGUGUCUCUGCCUCUCUCUCUCUCUCUGUGUGUCUCUCAUGAAUGAAUAAAUAAAAUCUUAAAAAAAAAAAAAAAGACCUAGUUUCACUAGGCCCUUCUCUGUGAAAUGAUUCCUAACAAUAUGCUCCUGUGGAUAGAGCCAUGUUUCCCUGUACCUUUCAAGUUACCUAGAAUAUCUUAAAUGCAAAAUAAGUGUUUGCUACAUCAGUGAAUAGGUUAAAUAAAUGAAAGAGGAAAGAUGUCAUCAAGAAAAUAAAAUUAAUCCAAUCAGGUAGGUUUCCUGUUAAUUUGAUUUUCUUGACUAUCACCAAUACAAACAUUUUAUUCUAGCCCUAAAUACCCAGAGAUAGAAUCAGAAGCUUUUGUUUAUAUUUGAACGAGCUAAUAAUUAUGUGCUUUGUUAGUAUAAACUUGACCUUAGAGGUCAACUUUCACAUUCCUUGUCAAUACCUUAGAUUUCGGCUCACCAAGAGUCUUGAGAUUUAGCCACAAGAAAGAAGGAAAGUGAAGGAAGAAAGCAAACAAAUAGAAAAUCUUUAAUUUAGAUCUUCAUUUAAAAUAAUCCUUUUCUCUAGGAAAUUGUGCAACAUCUCCAAAAAUCCAACACAUCUUUUGUUUCAGAAAAAAAUUAGUAACUGCUAAUGUAAAUACCUAGAUAUGAGUACGAUGAUAAAUAAGGUUGGAUAGUUUUCUCUGUGUCUGUCUUUUUUGAAUAUUUAUGGGGAAAUGAUGAUAUAUAGAUAAUAUAAUAUAAAUUGUGGAUUCAGUCCAUGCUUAUCCAUGGAGAGACAUACAAGUCAAUCUAAGACUUUCUUCUCUAGUGCCAGGGUUUGGUUCAAGCUUUCCCAGCAAGAAUGCCAAUGAAUUCUUAUUCAUUGAGUUAUUGAGAGUUAUUGUGGCUACAGUUUGCCCAGGGUUCAAAAAGAGAUGAUUGCUAAUGUGUCUGCCUUUACAUUUCAGCUUAUUUGAAAGUUUAUAAUGAUCUAAAUAUAAAGUGCUUUAUUUAUUUAUUCAUUCAUUCAUUCA